Molecule: ribosomal RNA, 301 nt
Filed under: uncultured bacterium
Lineage: Bacteria
Description: partial 16S ribosomal RNA
Rfam family: Bacterial small subunit ribosomal RNA
Source: RNAcentral
CAGUAGCCGCGGUAAUACGUAGGGUGCAAGCGUUAAUCGGAAUUACUGGGCGUAAAGCGUGCGUAGGCGGUUUGUUAAGUCUGUUGUGAAAUCCCCGGGCUCAACCUGGGAAUGGCAAUGGAUACUGGCAAGCUAGAGUGCGUCAGAGGAUGGUGGAAUUCCCGGUGUAGCGGUGAAAUGCGUAGAGAUCGGGAGGAACAUCAGUGGCGAAGGCGGCCAUCUGGGACAACACUGACGCUGAGGCACGAAAGCGUGGGGAGCAAACAGGAUUAGAUACCCGUGUAGUCCCUGUCUCUUAUAC